Molecule: transfer RNA, 72 nt
Filed under: Bos taurus (domestic cattle)
Lineage: Eukaryota; Metazoa; Chordata; Mammalia; Artiodactyla; Bovidae
Also listed under: 3 other names
Rfam family: tRNA
About the family: Transfer RNA (tRNA) molecules are approximately 80 nucleotides in length. Their secondary structure includes four short double-helical elements and three loops (D, anti-codon, and T loops). Further hydrogen bonds mediate the characteristic L-shaped molecular structure. tRNAs have two regions of fundamental functional importance: the anti-codon, which is responsible for specific mRNA codon recognition, and the 3' end, to which the tRNAs corresponding amino acid is attached (by aminoacyl-tRNA synthetases). tRNAs cope with the degeneracy of the genetic code in two manners: having more than one tRNA (with a specific anti-codon) for a particular amino acid; and 'wobble' base-pairing, i.e. permitting non-standard base-pairing at the 3rd anti-codon position.
Source: Rfam by way of RNAcentral
UCCCUCGUGGCUCAGAGGGUAAAGCAUCUGCCUGCAAUGCGGGAGACCCAGGUUCAAUCCCUGGGUUGGGAA